CACUAUAUCCUAACUUUAGAUGACAACAAGGAGUUUGAAAUUAAAACACCAACACCUACUAAUAACAAUGGCAACAGUUGGCAACGUUUAUAACUACAGUACAAAGACUCAAAUACAACAAGAAAACAAAAUACAACUUUGUGAGCUAUCAGUUCCCUGUUGCGAAUGAGUCUUUGAUUCAAGAGCUUCAAAAGAGUUGUAUGUUGUGAGUAUAUGGAAGCUUGGUUUUCUUGUUGUGGAAGAUGAGAAAUAUAUAUGACACAAGAAAACCUAGGACGGAUUCCAUUGGUUGGGGCAAAAAGGUUGCAGCUGCUUUCUACCAACCGUUGUACUUUCGUCCAGCUGUGUAGUUAACUAUGGCAGUGACGUGUAGGCCCAACCAGGUCCCUAAGUAGUUGCAGUUUUGUCAUCGCACAUUCAUUCAGGAAAUAGAUCCCCAACAAACAAUUUGUCAAUCUUUAAAACUAAGGACUUAACAAGAAUCUUUGCUUUUCUUGCACCCAAGGGUGUGGCUAGUGGUUUAAUGAAGUUGGGUUCAGCAUCAUGAGGCCUCAGGUUCAUUUCCUAAUAGAGAAACACUAGGUGAUUUCUUCCCAUCUUCUAGCCUAGCCUUGGUGGACAAAGUUACCUGGUAUUUGUUGUUGGUGGGAGGUGACAGGAAUCCCGUGGAAUGAGUCGAGGUGUGCGCAAGUUGCCCCGAACACUACGAUUAUCAAAAUAAAUAGAUCUUUCCUUCUCUUUUGUUCUUUAGCAUGCAAAAAAUGACUCCAUUUUCCUUUAUAUUAGUGUGAAUUUAUCAGAAAAUACAUUCUUUUGGAGCUUCAUUGAUAACAGAAUGAAGCUUUACUGAUUUGAUGUUGGAGUAGUUUCUCAAAUCUAAAAUGUUGUGAUCUAUACGGUAAUAAAAUCAGAGUUGUAAAGACAAGUAUCGAUCACUUCUAUAUUUUACCAUCUUACAAGUAUUAGACAAACUUGAUAUAAACAAUAAGACCUUUAGAAGAUGAUGUGAGUGAGUUCCUGAUUCUUUGUGCAGGAAAGGAUGCAACUGACGAUUUUGAGGAUGUUGGCCACAGCAGCAGUGCUCGAGCGAUGUUGGAUGAGUACUACGUAGGUGAUAUUGAUUCAGCAUCCAUCCCCACCAACACCAAGUAUACUCCUCCCAAGCAGCCUCAUUACAACCAGGACAAAACAUCAGAGUUCGUCAUCAAGCUCCUCCAGUUAUUAGUUCCCAAACAGUCAACAACUUGAAUAUCGGGGGAGGCCUUUGUUACCUGAGCAAGUCUUGGUUAAAUUAUGGGGAUAGUAAGAAACUCUGUUGUACUGAUGAACCCCCCUCAGACUUCAUAUGGUCUUCUUUAAUCGUAUUUUUAAGAUUUUUUUGUUUCUGCAGAUGAUAAUCUCUGCAAAUUGAAUUUCUUUUUCGGCUGUGUUGAUUUAUUCGGAUAUCUCCAUUUCGUUGGCAUGCCUACCUUUAGAAACGUGCAAGUAGCGUGGCUGAUGUGUAAAUUUCACAUGAUCCUCCAGAAUGCAUGUCAACUUUACCCUCCAACCCCAAUCUCCGAGAAAAAUAAGAAUAGGAAAGCAAAGAAGGCAUGAUCUGUGAUUUCUUCAAACUUCGGAGUUAGACUCAUGCUCAAGUAGUAUUAAUGUUUUCAAAGAGAUGGCAAAGGCAAGAGACAUAAAGUAAAGAUAUAUGAAACAAUAAAGCCGAAAGAGGCACACAAACAGGUGUAAGGAGUUUUAAGAGGCAACAAAAAGAUCUUGCAUCAAUGACUAUUGAUUUACCAGUGCUCUGUUGGUCCAUUUAGUGGGUCCUCCCACAAAAACAAAAUCAUACUAUACAUUGAGCAUCCGUGACAGCGAGAA
RNAcentral lists this long non-coding RNA (1866 nucleotides) under Capsicum annuum. RNAcentral describes it as "long non-coding RNA (CANN_LNC014438)". Lineage: Eukaryota; Viridiplantae; Streptophyta; Magnoliopsida; Solanales; Solanaceae. The record is from RNAcentral.